UGAAGAGUCCUUGUCCUCAAGGAAAUUUAAAACCUAAAAGGAAAAUACGAUGAAUGAAAAUUGCUAUAGCACAAAGCAAAGGUGUUUCAGUAGAGGUAUAAAGUGCUGUAGAAGCCAAGAAAAUGUACAGUUUGCUGAUGAUUGAGAGGUUCUAGGUUUUAUGAAGGACACAUUUUAAGAAUGGGUAGGAUUUGUAUCUCUAAUACGUGGAGAGAAAAUGGCAACCAUAGAGACAGGAAAGUUCAGGAAAUAUUUAGCGAUAGGUGAGUGGUUGAAAGAUAUCUUAGGAGAGAUAAAAUGGAAAAGAAAGCAAAUGCCAAAUCAUAGGGUAUUUGAAGCUGUUUUAGCAAUUUUAUUUUCACUCUGUGAGUCCUAGAGAGCCACUGAAGGUUAUUGAAGUGAAGGCUGACACAUUUACUAUAAGCUUUAGAAAGUUCUUUGACAAUAAUUGGAGGAUGUUUAGAGGAGAUGAGACUAGAGUUGGAGAAUAUAGUAAGGAAGCCAUUACAUGAUCUAGGACCUGGACUAGGUGAUGAAAAUGGGAUACAUACGAAGAAUGUUUAAGACGUGGAAUCCACAUGAUUUGGCAACUGAUUAAAUGCUUACAUAUCUGCUCAGGGGAAGGGGAGGCAUGUGGUAAAAAGAAAAGGUUUAAGUUAUAAUUUUGUAAAUGACAGAGCCCAGCUUGAUUCAUCUAAAAAGUAAAAAAGAGAAAUUUAUUUGCAAAAUUAGGCUAAUAACAUAACUUUGGGAAAGGCAGAGAUAGAGCCAGGUAGGGACAACUGAAUCAGGGCCUCAGAUGUCAUUCUUCCUCCGUAUGUUCUCUUUGAAGGUAGCCUUUAUUCUUUUCUACUGCAGAGAAGUUCUCUCCAUGCUUCAGGAUCAUCGCCACAGCCAGUCCUUCUAGCUGAGGGACUAAAGAAGACUGGGAUCUUCCCCUGGGCCAGUCGAACUUUUCCAGAGAUGGACCCUGGUAGAAGGGCUUGGGUCACAUAUCCACCCCUUAGACCAGUCACUGGACCUGAUGGAUGAGAAACUGAUGCACAAGGAAGUUAAGAAAGUGAACCAGGUAUCAGGAAAAAGCCCCAGUGUCAUAGAGAAUGGCAAAGAGGAACAAGACUGCAAAGGACAUGACCAAGCCAGCAGCCAGGUUGAUGUGCCUUCCCUUCACAGGUGCGAAAGAGAGUGAGAUGAAGGGACCAGAGCAGGGCAGUCUCUUACUCACAGCACAGCAAGAAUGGGAACAUCAGCAUGGUAACUCUGGUGCCCGUGCUCCAAAGUCUCAUGGGGCAGUCAUGAGCCCAGAUGGCAGCUGCUCACACAGUGGAUUGUGCCCCAUGUGAGGAACCUAGGGUCAAAGUCUCAACACCUUUU
This 1374-nucleotide long non-coding RNA is filed under the name Equus caballus (horse). Its description in RNAcentral is "lncRNA (ENSECAG00000045814.1)". The record is from RNAcentral. Lineage: Eukaryota; Metazoa; Chordata; Mammalia; Perissodactyla; Equidae.